Molecule: long non-coding RNA, 877 nt
Filed under: Piliocolobus tephrosceles (Ugandan red Colobus)
Lineage: Eukaryota; Metazoa; Chordata; Mammalia; Primates; Cercopithecidae
Description: lncRNA (ENSPTEG00000025387.1)
Source: RNAcentral
CACAAAGCUCAGCAAUACUCAGUCUUAUCCACCACAGUAGGUCAUGCAGCUACCACUGCUGUACACUAGAGUGGACUUUUAUUUUAAAAUAACAUUAAUCAUAUAUCAUCUAAGAACAGAUUAAGUUAUAGAGUACUUUAAGAACAUAGUGAAAUAAGCAAUGCAAUUUAGAAAGAUUUUUAUAAGGAGAUUUAAGUGAGGAAAUCUUCAGCAUUUCAGAAUGACAUAUUCUCUUAAGGAUUCCUGAAGAUAAGAUUUUAUUAUGAUUUUCUGUCUUUUGUCUCCUUUCUUGUUGUAGUGUUUUAGAGCGUGGAGAUGACAAAUUACACUUGCAUUUCACUUAACAGGAUUCAACUAUAUGUGUCCAGAAAAAGGAAAGAUGAAGUGAAAGAAUGAAGAAAAAAAUGCUCAUUUCACAUUCCCUGGAGUCAGGACACAAGUCCCAGGCCAGCUGCCGCCUCACUCGACCACUUGGACUACCAGAUGUCAGGCUGCCCUUUGUGGACUUCUCACUUGGCAACCUCUCCUUUUCCUUUUCUUCUCACGUUGGACACUGCCUUCCUUUUCUUCACCCCCUUCUCAUGGCACCAAGUGGUUCAACUCCAUUGUUUUGGAACAAGGAAAAGAGAAACAAGAAGAUCAAAUAAAUGUAUCACCCCAAUUCACUGGAAGAGUCUGUAAAUGAGCAAAAUUAAAACAAUUUCUCUGUAGCCAGCACCACAGCAGGAGCUGGGCUCUCUGACACAUGUGAAACACUCUUUCUGUGUGUAAAUAUUUUCAAAUUGCCUUUUUAAAGAAAAGAGGAAGCCCAGGCAGAGUCAUACAUAGCCCAGAUGUAUCGGAUCAGAAGAAUGAAAGUGCAAAAGGUCAGAGACUA